UACGGAAGGCAGCAGUGGGGAAUAUUGCACAAUGGGCGCAAGCCUGAUGCAGCCAUGCCGCGUGUAUGAAGAAGGCCUUCGGGUUGUAAAGUACUUUCAGUCGUGAGGAAGGUGCUAAGGUUAAUAACCUUAGCAAUUGACGUUAGCGACAGAAGAAGCACCGGCUAACUCCGUGCCAGCAGCCGCGGUAAUACGGAGGGUGCGAGCGUUAAUCGGAAUUACUGGGCGUAAAGGGCACGCAGGCGGUUAAUUAAGUUGGAUGUGAAAUCCCCGGGCUUAACCUGGGAAUGGCAUUCAAGACUGGUUAGCUAGAGUCUUGUAGAGGGGGUUAGAAUUCCAUGUGUAGCGGUGAAAUGCGUAGAGAUGUGGAGGAAUACCGGGUGGCGAAGGCGGGCCCCUGGGACAAAGACUGACGCUCAUGUGCGAAAGCGUGGGGAGCAAACAGGAUUAGAUACC
RNAcentral lists this ribosomal RNA (456 nucleotides) under uncultured bacterium. RNAcentral describes it as "bacterial SSU rRNA". It matches the Rfam family "Bacterial small subunit ribosomal RNA", at positions 340 to 786 of the family's 1533-position model. The record is from RNAcentral.